RNAcentral lists this transfer RNA (65 nucleotides) under Agasicles hygrophila. RNAcentral's name for it is "tRNA-Trp". Lineage: Eukaryota; Metazoa; Arthropoda; Insecta; Coleoptera; Chrysomelidae. The record is from RNAcentral.
AAGGAUUUAAGUUAAUUAAACUUUUAACCUUCAAAGUUAACAAUAGAAAAUGUUUCUAAGCCUUA